This 131-nucleotide non-coding RNA is filed under the name Paramoeba aestuarina. The record is from RNAcentral. Lineage: Eukaryota; Discosea; Flabellinia; Dactylopodida; Paramoebidae.
AAAGAAGAAAAGAAAGAAGAAAAGAAAGAAGUAAAAGAAAAAGAAAAAGAAAUUGAAAGUCUCGUUUCCAAGAACCCUUUUGAGGUUGAUGGUUUUCAUUGUGUGCUUGUCUGUCAAAUUAUUGAGUGUUA